CUGGUAGUCCAUACCGUAAACGAUGAAUGCUAAGUGUUGGAGGGUUUCCGCCCUUCAGUGCUGCAGCUAACGCAUUAAGCAUUCCGCCUGGGGAGUACGGCCGCAAGGCUGAAACUCAAAGGAAUUGACGGGGGCCCGCACAAGCGGUGGAGCAUGUGGUUUAAUUCGAAGCUACGCGAAGAACCUUACCAGGUCUUGACAUACUAUGCAAAUCUAAGAGAUUAGACGUUCCCUUCGGGGACAUGGAUACAGGUGGUGCAUGGUUGUCGUCAGCUCGUGUCGUGAGAUGUUGGGUUAAGUCCCGCAACGAGCGCAACCCUUAUUAUCAGUUGCCAGCAUUAAGUUGGGCACUCUGGUGAGACUGCCGGUGACAAACCGGAGGAAGGUGGGGAUGACGUCAAAUCAUCAUGCCCCUUAUGACCUGGGCUACACACGUGCUACAAUGGAUGGUACAACGAGUUGCGAACUCGCGAGAGUAAGCUAAUCUCUUAAAGCCAUUCUCAGUUCGGAUUGUAGGCUGCAACUCGCCUACAUGAAGUCGGAAUCGCUAGUAAUCGCGGAUCAGCAUGCCGCGGUGAAUACGAUCCCGGCCUUAGAGUUCGCCCCUGGCUCAGAAGUCGUAACAAGGUACCCUUAGAGUUUGAUCCUGGCUCAGAA
This 657-nucleotide ribosomal RNA is filed under the name Lactiplantibacillus plantarum. Its description in RNAcentral is "bacterial SSU rRNA". It matches the Rfam family "Bacterial small subunit ribosomal RNA", at positions 787 to 1533 of the family's 1533-position model. The record is from RNAcentral. Lineage: Bacteria; Bacillati; Bacillota; Bacilli; Lactobacillales; Lactobacillaceae.